RNAcentral lists this ribosomal RNA (271 nucleotides) under uncultured bacterium. Its description in RNAcentral is "partial 16S ribosomal RNA". It matches the Rfam family "Bacterial small subunit ribosomal RNA", at positions 524 to 794 of the family's 1533-position model. The record is from RNAcentral.
UACGUAGGUGCGAGCGUAAGUCGGAAUACUGGGGCGUAAAGGCGUGCGCAGGCGGCUUUGCAAGACAGAUGUGAAAUCCCCGGGCUCAACCUGGGAACUGCAUUUGUGACUGCAAGGCUAGAGUACGGCAGAGGGGGAUGGAAUUCCGCGUGUAGCAGUGAAAUGCGUAGAUAUGCGGAGGAACACCAAUGGCGAAGGCAAUCCCCUGGGCCUGUACUGACGCUCAUGCACGAAAGCGUGGGGAGCAAACAGGAUUAGAUACCCGCGUAGU